This 460-nucleotide ribosomal RNA is filed under the name uncultured bacterium. RNAcentral describes it as "partial 16S ribosomal RNA". It matches the Rfam family "Bacterial small subunit ribosomal RNA", at positions 338 to 795 of the family's 1533-position model. The record is from RNAcentral.
CCUACGGGUGGCAGCAGUGAGGAAUAUUGGUCAAUGGACGAGAGUCUGAACCAGCCAAGUAGCGUGAAGGAUGACUGCCCUAUGGGUUGUAAACUUCUUUUAUAAAGGAAUAAAACGAGGCACGUGUGCCUUUUUGCAUGUACUUUAUGAAUAAGGAUCGGCUAACUCCGUGCCAGCAGCCGCGGUAAUACGGAGGAUCCGAGCGUUAUCCGGAUUUAUUGGGUUUAAAGGGAGCGUAGAUGGGUUGUUAAGUCAGUUGUGAAAGUUUGCGGCUCAACCGUAAAAUUGCAAUUGAUACUGGCAGUCGUGAGUACAGUUGAGGUAGGCGGAAUUCGUGGUGUAGCGGUGAAAUGCUUAGAUAUCACGAAGAACCCCGAUUGCGAAGGCAGCUUACUAAACUGUGACUGACAUUGAUACUCGAAAGUGUGGGUAUCAAACAGGAUUAGAUACCCCGGUAGUC